RNAcentral lists this unclassified non-coding RNA (331 nucleotides) under soil metagenome. Its description in RNAcentral is "partial contains 5.8S ribosomal RNA, internal transcribed spacer 2, and large subunit ribosomal RNA". The stretch from base 1 to 120 matches the Rfam family "5.8S ribosomal RNA", at positions 35 to 154 of the family's 154-position model. The record is from RNAcentral.
GAUGAAGAACGUAGCAAAAUGCGAUAAGUAAUGUGAAUUGCAGAAUUCAGUGAAUCAUCGAAUCUUUGAACGCACAUUGCGCCCGCCAGUAUUCUGGCGGGCAUGCCUGUUCGAGCGUCAUUUCAACCCUCAAGCACAGCUUGGUGUUGGGACUCGCGUUAAUUCGCGUUCCCAAAUUGAUUGGCGGUCACGUCGAGCUUCCAUAGCGUAGUAGUAAAACCCUCGUUACUGGUAAUCGUCGCGGCCACGCCGUUAAACCCCAACUUCUGAAUGUUGACCUCGGAUCAGGUAGGAAUACCCGCUGAACUUAAGCAUAUCAAUAAGCGGAGGA